This 288-nucleotide signal recognition particle RNA is filed under the name Phascolarctos cinereus (koala). RNAcentral describes it as "Metazoan signal recognition particle RNA (ENSPCIG00000018673.2)". It matches the Rfam family "Metazoan signal recognition particle RNA". From Rfam's summary of the family: The signal recognition particle (SRP) is a universally conserved ribonucleoprotein. Lineage: Eukaryota; Metazoa; Chordata; Mammalia; Diprotodontia; Phascolarctidae. The record is from Rfam by way of RNAcentral.
ACCAGGCACGGUGGCUUGUGCCUAUAAUCCCUGUUAAUGGGGAAGUGGAGACUGUAAAUUUCUAGAGCUCUGGAGUUCGGAGCUGCAAUAGGACUAAAGCUGAUUGGGUGUCCACACUAAAGCUGACACCAAUAUUGUGAAGUCCUGGGAGCAGGGGCCUAAAGAGGGGUGAACCAAUAUAGGUCAGAAAUGGAGCAACACAAAAAUUCCAUGUCAGCCAGCAGUGGGUUCAGGGCCAUAACUAGCUGCUGCCUUCAAGCCUGGAAAAAAUAGGGAUACUGUCUCCAU